RNAcentral lists this ribosomal RNA (253 nucleotides) under uncultured bacterium. RNAcentral describes it as "partial 16S ribosomal RNA". It matches the Rfam family "Bacterial small subunit ribosomal RNA", at positions 524 to 776 of the family's 1533-position model. The record is from RNAcentral.
UACGGGGGGGGCAAGCGUUGUUCGGAAUUACUGGGCGUAAAGGGCUCGUAGGCGGCCAACUAAGUCGGACGUGAAAUCCCCAGGCUCAACCUGGGAACUGCGUCCGAUACUGGAUGGCUUGAAUCCGGGAGAGGGAUGCAGAAUUCCAGGUGUAGCGGUGAAAUGCGUAGAUAUCUGGAGGAAUACCGGUGGCGAAGGCGGCAUCCUGGACCGGCAUUGACGCUGAGGAGCGAAAGCGUGGGUAGCGAACAGG